UUCCGCACCAACAUCCCGCCGACGUUCCCCUUCUUCGUGGGCAUCGACCCGCGCGUGGUCGCCGUCGUGGACGCCGCCGCCUUCACCGCGCUCUUCGACAACACCCUCGUCGACAAGCGCGACAUCCUCAUCGGGCCCUACAACCCCGGGGCCGGGUUCACCGGCGGCACCCGCGUCGGCGUUUACCUCGACACCGAGGAGCCCGAGCACGAGCGCGUCAAGAAGUUCGCCAUGGCCAUCCUCCACCGCAGCGCCACCACCUGGGCCUCCGCGUUCCGCGCCGGCGUCGACGCCAUGCUCGACUCCAUCGAGGCCGAC
RNAcentral lists this long non-coding RNA (318 nucleotides) under Setaria italica (foxtail millet). Its description in RNAcentral is "long non-coding RNA (SITA_LNC000015)". Lineage: Eukaryota; Viridiplantae; Streptophyta; Magnoliopsida; Poales; Poaceae. The record is from RNAcentral.